CCUACGGGUGGCAGCAGUGAGGAAUAUUGGUCAAUGGACGCAAGUCUGAACCAGCCAUGCCGCGUGCAGGAAGACGGCUCUAUGAGUUGUAAACUGCUUUUGUAAGAGGGUAAACGCAGAUACGCGUAUCUGUCUGAAAGUAUCGUACGAAUAAGGAUCGGCUAACUCCGUGCCAGCAGCCGCGGUAAUACGGAGGAUUCAAGCGUUAUCCGGAUUUAUUGGGUUUAAAGGGUGCGUAGGCGGUCGGAUAAGUUAGAGGUGAAAUCCCGAGGCUCAACUUCGGAAUUGCCUUUGAUACUGUUCGGCUAGAGAGUAGUUGCGGUAGGCGGAAUGUAUGGUGUAGCGGUGAAAUGCUUAGAGAUCAUACAGAACACCGAUUGCGAAGGCAGCUUACCAAGCUACUUCUGACGUUGAGGCACGAAAGCGUGGGUAGCAAACAGGAUUAGAUACCCUAGUAGUC
RNAcentral lists this ribosomal RNA (460 nucleotides) under uncultured bacterium. Its description in RNAcentral is "partial 16S ribosomal RNA". It matches the Rfam family "Bacterial small subunit ribosomal RNA", at positions 338 to 795 of the family's 1533-position model. The record is from RNAcentral.